UACGUAGGGUGCAAGCGUUGUCCGGAAUUAUUGGGCGUAAAGAGCUCGUAGGCGGUUUGUCGCGUCGGCUGUGAAAACCUGAGGCUCAACCUCGGGCCUGCAGUCGAUACGGGCAAACUAGAGUUCGGUAGGGGAGACUGGAAUUCCUGGUGUAGCGGUGGAAUGCGCAGAUAUCAGGAGGAACACCGAUGGCGAAGGCAGGUCUCUGGGCCGAAACUGACGCUGAGGAGCGAAAGCGUGGGGAGCGAACAGG
Molecule: ribosomal RNA, 253 nt
Filed under: Actinomycetes bacterium
Lineage: Bacteria; Bacillati; Actinomycetota; Actinomycetes
Also listed under: 1 other name
Description: partial 16S ribosomal RNA
Rfam family: Bacterial small subunit ribosomal RNA
Source: RNAcentral